UUCUUUAAAAUAGCCUGUUGUGUCACUCUUUGGCAAACAUGUUGGGCAUUUUGAAAUCCUACUCCAUAAAUUUCAUAGGUGUAUUCUUUCAGAAUCUGAGGCGUUGUAGCUCUCAUUAGCUAUGAAGUCACUGAGUCAGUGUUAAACAAGCUAAGUUUCUCAAAGCACGUGAAAUUCGUAGUCUUAUUCUGAUGACUCCAUUUACAUUCAGAAAUCUAUAACUAUAUUUCAAACUGUGACAUCUUUAUACCACACAAUUUCAGCACAACUGUCUCUUCCUUAUAAUUUCUAUGCCUUCACAGCCUAGAAAAUUGAUGUUUAUAAAUUGCUUUAUAAUCAAUGGGUUCUAUUAGACAUGGGGGAAUCAUAUAAAUUAAUAGACUAAUAGUAAACUUCCAGGCUUAAGUAAUUUUACUUGCAAUGGUCAACUGUUUUUAGUAAUGGACUUGAUAUAAAUGUGUUUUACAUUUAUCAUAUUUAAAUACUACCUUAAGUCAAUUUCUUUUUACCUUAAACUUUUUACUUAAAGUUAUUAUUGUCAAGAUGGAAUUGAACAAGAUUGGGUUAUUUAUUCAAGUGUUAAUUCAAAAGACAGAUAGAUGCUAGAAUAUAGAGGUGACCAAAACAUAGUCCCUAUUGUCUUAAGUGCUUACAGUGUAGAUAGGGAACUAGAUAAGCAAGGGAUGAAAAUAGUGAAAGAAAUGCUUAGGGGCACAUCAUGGGGAUACCCCAAUUUACCAAAUAAUUACUAGGUCCUGAAAAAAAAAUGCUCUUUUGUAUCCUAGGUCAGACUUUGAAGCUUGUAAAACACAUUAAACUGAUACAUUCAGAUAGAAUAUGACUUUCUGAACAAGUCUGAUGAAACCACAUAGGACAUUUUGCAGUGCUUACCCUCUACAAGUGUGGGAUGGGAGAGAUUAUAGGUUAUGGAAUGUUACCUCCUUUAUCUUCCUUAAUGCACUUCAGAGUUUCUAACAUGUUCCCACAUGGGUUAGCUCAUGUCAUCCUUAAAGUGGCCCAGUAAAAGAGAUGUCAUCCCAAUUCCCAUUUUACAAAUGAAGAAAAAAAACUCAAUAAAGCUAAUAACUUGGCUACUGUUAUUUACAUAGAGACUGACAGUAAGUGGACUCAAAUCAAGGUCUUUCCACUAUGCUGAUGCUGAUUCUAUUACUGUGAAAUAGAUUAUCCAGGGCAGUUUUAUUUUAUAGAUGAGAAAACGUAUCUAAAAGAGAGGAGUAAUCUAUCCAAAGCCACAUUCCUGGGUAUUAGCAAAAACAUAAUAUUUAGAUAAGACAUGCUCCUUCUAAAUGUUCCUGAUAUGAUAAUUUGAGAGCAGUUAUGUGAGCUGCUAACUCAAUAAAUGGAUAGAAAUAACGUCUUAGGAAAUCACUGAAUAGAGGAUCAAAUGAUCUGGGUUCCAGUUCUGCCAUAUUGUAAGCUGUGUGGAACCCUUGGGCAGAAUUAUUUGUUUCCUUUUGCAGGAUCUGUAUUAACUUCAUUUGCUAGAAAAAGGGAAGGGGCACCAGGUGAUGGUGGGUAGCUUUUCCUAUAAAAGAGCUAUACUCCACAAGUGUCAUAUAUGAAGGAAUGAAUGGUCAUGGAGAGUUCCAUAGGGUCUGGUAUCCAAAAGGAGACUAGAUCAAGGAAUGAACAUUCCGAAAGAUCACAUUCAGAAAUUUCUGGUGCAUUUGUACAUCUCCGUAACUAUUUGUUGCACGACUUUUCUUCCUGAGUGGAUAUUGACAGUAAAAUAGUUAAAUGUAAGAAGAGAUUAGUUUUUAUUUCAAAGACAUUAAGGAAAUGGAGCUUUCUCAAAUUCUUAGAAGUAACUUUGUCCUUUUCUUAACUUUUCCUAAUUCAGUUCCCUUAGUUUUCCUGGUAAUGCCUUGUAUUUGUUUUCUAGGGCUGCUUUAAGAAAGUACAACAAAAUGAGUGGCUUAAACAAUACAAAUUUAUUGUAUCAGUUCUGGAGGCUAGACGUCCAAGAUCAAAGUGACAGCACGGCUGCUUCCUUCUGAGGGCUCCGGGAAACAAUCUGUUCCAAGCCUCUAAGUUCUACCCUCUGGGGGUUUGCUGGCCACCUUUGGUAUUCCGUGGCUUGAAAAGCAUCACUGAUGUCUCCAUCUUCACCUGUCCUUCUCCCUGUGUGGGUGCCUAUGCCCAAACUGUGUCUUUUUCCUAAGGAUACCAGUCAUAUGAGAGCCCACCCUAAUGACCUCACCUUAACUAAUUAUGUCUGUAGUGACCCGAUUUCCAAAUGAGAUCAGAUUCUGAGAUACUAGAUGUCGGGACUUCAAAAUAAUGAAUUUUGGGGGAACACAGUUCAACCUGUAAAAUUCCACUUGGCUAAGCAAAUCACUGCAUGUGUACUUGAUAAGUGUAUCAGUCAGGGUUCCACCAAAAAACCAGAACCAGUACAGAGAGAGAGAGCUGCAGAGAGAAGAGGGAGAAAGAUUGAUUGCAGGGAAUUGUAAUGCGACUUUGAGAGCUUACUGGGCAAGUCCAAAAUCCAUAGGGUGGGUCAUUAGGAAGGGGAGUUUGAAAAUUCUUGUUUUAAGAGCUAAUGCUGCAGUCCACAGGAAGUGUCUUCUUCCUCAGGGAAACCUCAAUUCUGUCCCUAAGGCCUUGGCAAAUUGGGUCAGACCCACCUAGAUUAUCCAGGAUAAUCUCUAUAAAGCCAACUGGUUGUAGCUGUUGGUCACGUCUACAAUGUGCCUUCCCAGAAACACCUUGAGUGCUGUUUGAUUGAGUCAUCUGGUACGACAGUCUAACAAAACUGACCCAAAAACCAUGACAGUAACUAACAGGGAUGGGAGCAAGAGGCUGAUAGAAUAUUCCUUAAAACCCAAAUGAACAGGGGCAAUAAUCUUGGGUGUAUUAUCCAGUAGUGAUGGGCUCCUUGUUUGGCAGGCUGGGUAUGCACAAGGUUUGCAUGAUAUUUUGUGACAGCCAGGACCCCCCGUGUGUAUUUCUCCUUUCUAACACAGCCUUAAUACAACUCCUCCCUUCCAGUGUGUAUCUUGAAGCUCUAGCCUCAUUCUUCCAAUUCAAUCUUGUGUUCUCUGAGGAAAAAAAUGCCCAAAGCAAUUUUUAUCCCAUCACACACUGUUUGUGAAUGUACGGCUGUCAUAGCUUAUUCACAGGGCUUUCCUCUGUUAACCACCUUCUCUAUGUGCACACUGGUUGGAAGCAGUGGGGAUUAAGGGGAGGGGAAAAGGGAAGACCCCUUGGCUCCAAGCUUUUGGAGAACAAUCGUAUCUCAUUUGUCACUGUUAGUCUGACAACCCUCAUUUCACUCCUCCCAAAUUCCCCCUGCCAUAUUCUGCUUUUAGUGGAGGAAUAAAUGAUUGCUUGUAUGGGUUCAGUGGACUAGCUCUCCCAUUUGCAGUUUUUGUAGCUUGAGGAAGCGGGUGGGUGGAAAGGCAGAAGGUUUCUGUCGUGGGUGAUGGUGUCUGUUGAGUGAUGUAUGUCUCUUGAAAAUUCUGUUGGAUGAGAAAAAUCCUGAAAUAUUAUGAGGUAUAAUGUGUGCUAGUUUAAAUUUAUUAAAUUUGUUCAAUAAUAUCAAUAAUACCUGCCCCCCCCCAGCAUUGGUAAAGGUUCUAUUAAGUAUAUAAGAUUGAGUAAAUAGAGACAGAUUAAGAAAAAAAGAAACAUUAUAUUAAACUUUGGUUGGGGGUCAAAUGGUAUCAGGAAAAGAACACUAGAUUUUGAGUUUGAUUCUGGGCCCUUAGUUAGGAAAGUUAUGUCAUUUGGCCUAUACAAUCCAUAGUUUUCCAUUGUAAAAUAAUAACUGAUGAUGGGAGUUCCCGUCGCGGCACAGUGGUUAACGAAUCCAACUAGGAACCAUGAGGUUUCAGGUUCAGUCCCUGGCCUUGCUCAGUGGGUUAAGGAUCUGGCGUUGCUGUGAGCUGUGGUGUAGGUCGCAGACAAGGCGCAGAUCCCGUGUUGCUAUGACUCUGGCGUAGGCCAGCGGCUAAAGCUCCGAUUAGACCCUUAGCCUGGGAACCUCCAAAUGCCACAGAAGCAGCCCUAGAAACAAGGCAAAAAGAAAAGAAAACAAAACAAGGAGUUCCCGUCGUGGCGCAGUGGUUAACGAAUCCGACUAGGAACCAUGAGGUUGCGGGUUCGGUCCCUGCCCUUGCUUAGUGGGUUAACGAUCCGGCAUUGCCGUGAGCUGUGGUGUAGGUUGCAGACGCGGCUCGGAUCCCGCGUUGCUGUGGCUCUGGCGUAGGCCGGUGGCUACAGCUCCAAUUCGACCCCUAGCCUGGGAACCUCCAUAUGCCGCGGGAGCGGCCCAAGAAAUAGCAACAACAACAAAAAGACAAAAG
RNAcentral lists this long non-coding RNA (4328 nucleotides) under Sus scrofa (pig). Its description in RNAcentral is "lncRNA (ENSSSCG00055016926.1)". Lineage: Eukaryota; Metazoa; Chordata; Mammalia; Artiodactyla; Suidae. The record is from RNAcentral.